UAAGGAAUAUUGCUUAAUGGGAGAAAUCCUGAAGCAGCAACGCCGCGUGGAGGAUGAAGGGUCUAUGACUUGUAAACUCCUGUAAAGAAGGAAAAAAUUCCCAUUUGAUGGGCGAUGAUGGUACUUCUGGAGUAAGCCCCGGCUAACUACGUGCCAGCAGCCGCGGUAAUACGUAGGUGGCAAGCGUUGUCCGGAUUUACUGGGCGUAAAGGAUGCGUAGGCGGAUACUUAAGUCAGAUGUGAAAAUCCCGGGCUUAACUUGGGAACUGCAUUUGAAACUGGGUAUCUAGAGUGCGGGAGAGGAAAGUGGAAUUCCUAGUGUAGCGGUUAAAUGCGUAGAGAUUAGGAAGAACACCAGUGGCGAAGGCGACUUUCUGGACCGUAACUGACGCUGAGGCAUGAAAGCGUG
This 409-nucleotide ribosomal RNA is filed under the name uncultured bacterium. RNAcentral describes it as "bacterial SSU rRNA". It matches the Rfam family "Bacterial small subunit ribosomal RNA", at positions 355 to 763 of the family's 1533-position model. The record is from RNAcentral.